RNAcentral lists this unclassified non-coding RNA (21 nucleotides) under Mus musculus (house mouse). RNAcentral describes it as "oocyte_clustered_small_RNA2489". The record is from RNAcentral. Lineage: Eukaryota; Metazoa; Chordata; Mammalia; Rodentia; Muridae.
AUAAGUAUGCUGUGAACAAAG